CGGCGUGGAUUAGGCAUGCAAGUCGAACGGUAGGGAGCUUUCGGGCUUCUGAGAGUGGCGAACGGGUGAGUAACGCGUAGGUGAUUUGCCUUCAAGUGGGGGACAACCCGGGGAAACCCGGGCUAAUACCGUAUGUGUCCGCAAGGAUAAAGCCGGCCUCUGAAUAUGCUGGUGCUUGGAGAUGAGCCUGCGUCUGAUUAGCUAGUUGGUGUGGUAAUGGCAUACCAAGGCGAUGAUAAGUAGGCGGCUUUAACGAGUGGUCGCCCACACUGGGAUUGAGAUACGGCCCAGACUCCUACGGGAGGCAGCAGUCGAGGAUAGUCUACAAUGGUCGAAAGAUUGAUAGUGCGACGCCGCGUGAACGAAGAAGCAUUUCGGUGUGUAAAGUUCUUUUCUAUGCGAGCAGAGUUUGGGACAUUAAUAUUGUCCUGAUAGGAUAUUAGUAUAGGAAUAAGCCACGGCUAACUCCGUGCCAGCAGCCGCGGUAAUACGGGGGUGGCGAGCGUUGUCCGGAAUUACUAGGCGUAA
Molecule: ribosomal RNA, 528 nt
Filed under: uncultured organism
Description: bacterial SSU rRNA
Rfam family: Bacterial small subunit ribosomal RNA
Source: RNAcentral